RNAcentral lists this ribosomal RNA (467 nucleotides) under uncultured bacterium. RNAcentral describes it as "partial 16S ribosomal RNA". It matches the Rfam family "Bacterial small subunit ribosomal RNA", at positions 29 to 507 of the family's 1533-position model. The record is from RNAcentral.
ACGAACGCUGGCGGCGUGCUUCACACAUGCAAGUCGAACGGAAAGGCCCUGCUUUUGUGGGGUGCUCGAGUGGCGAACGGGUGAGUAACACGUGAGUAACCUGCCCUUGACUUUGGGAUAACUUCAGGAAACUGGGGCUAAUACCGGAUAGGAGCUCCUGCUGCAUGGUGGGGGUUGGAAAGUUUCGGCGGUUGGGGAUGGACUCGCGGCUUAUCAGCUUGUUGGUGGGGUAGUGGCUUACCAAGGCUUUGACGGGUAGCCGGCCUGAGAGGGUGACCGGCCACAUUGGGACUGAGAUACGGCCCAGACUCCUACGGGAGGCAGCAGUGGGGAAUAUUGCACAAUGGGCGGAAGCCUGAUGCAGCAACGCCGCGUGCGGGAUGACGGCCUUCGGGUUGUAAACCGCUUUCGCCUGUGACGAAGCGUGAGUGGCGGUAAUGGGUAAAGAAGCACCGGCUAACUACGUG